AGACAUGAAGUAAACAAUCAAGAAAAGCAAUAAAUCUAUCAUGCAAACCUAAAAGAAAAUAUAAAAGAGAAAUAUAUGGGAAAAAGAGAGAAAAACCCGCAACUCGUCGGGUUUUAUACAAUGCAUGGAACCCGAGACAUAUGUCGGGAGAGAAAUGAAUAUUACAUAAUGACGGUCGGAGUGGACAUCGACCUACACCAUCUUCACGCCUUCUCCACCUUCAAGGUUCUAAUCUAAACCUAAUCUAAGAAAUUUAUGACUAGGUGUAUACAAGUGAAAGAAACAAUCAUCACAACUAAAAAGCAAUUGGGGUAGAACCCAUGUAUGAUUGGCUCUAAGAAAACAAGCACAAAAAUCAAGCACUUUAUAAAGAGCAACUUUCAUGAAUGGAAUUUCCUGAGGCGUAUCAAGUUCAAGUAAAGUCAAAUUCAUGGCUGAAAAGCAACAAUCGCUAAAGCAUACAAAUCAAUCAUAAGCAAAUCAGAGAAUGAUGCAUGAUAACUGAUUUGUUAAGCCACCUAAUCAAUGCAUGAAAAUCAUGAAAUUUGAACAUGACGUAGGGUUAAAUGUGAAGAAAAAGUUUUGUUUAGACAUUUAACCCUAAAUCCACGUGCAAAAAGGUCACACAAAUCCAUUAACAUUGAUAUGUGACUUGUCAUUAGGAGCAAAAUGCAUAACAAUUU
RNAcentral lists this long non-coding RNA (683 nucleotides) under Eucalyptus grandis. RNAcentral describes it as "long non-coding RNA (EGRA_LNC007531)". The record is from RNAcentral. Lineage: Eukaryota; Viridiplantae; Streptophyta; Magnoliopsida; Myrtales; Myrtaceae.